ACGGUCCUAAGGUAGCGAAAUUCCUUGUCGGGUAAGUUCCGACCCGCACGAAAGGCGUAAUGAUUUGGGCACUGUCUCGACAAUGCACCCGGUGAAAUUGAAAUACCAGUGAAGAUGCUGGUUACCUGCGCCAGGACGGAAAGACCCCAUGGAGCUUUACUCCAGCUUGAUACUGGGAUUCGGUAUUGCAUGUACAGGAUAGGUGGGAGGCUGAGAAUCGGUAACGCCAGUUGCCGAGGAGCCGUUGUUGGGAUACCACCCUUGCAGUACUGGGUUUCUAACCAGCAGCCGUGAUCCGGCUGGGGGACAAUGUCAGGUGGGGAGUUUGACUGGGGCGGUCGCCUCCGAAAGGGUAUCGGAGGCGCUCAAAGGUUCCCUCAGAAUGGUCGGAAACCAUUCGAAGAGUGCAAAGGCAGAAGGGAGCUUGACUGCGACACCGACGGGUGGAGCAGGUACGAAAGUAGGACUUAGUGAUCCGGUGGUAUAAAGUGGGAUUGCCAUCGCUCAACGGAUAAAAGCUACCCUGGGGAUAACAGGCUUAUCACUCCCAAGAGUUCACAUCGACGGAGUGGUUUGGCACCUCGAUGUCGGCUCAUCGCAUCCUGGGGCUGUAGUAGGUCCCAAGGGUUGGGCUGUUCGCCCAUUAAAGCGGUACGCGAGCUGGGUUCAGAACGUCGUGAGACAGUUCGGUCCCUAUCCGGCGUGGGCGUAGGAUAUUUGAGAGGAGCUGUCCUUAGUACGAGAGGACCGGGAUGGACUGGCCGCUGGUGUAUCUGUUGCAUACCAAAUGCAUGGCAGAGUAGCCAAGCCGGGACGGGAUAAACGCUGAAGGCAUCUAAGCGUGAAGCCCCCCUCAAGAUGAGAUAUCCCAUUCGAAAGAAGUAAGACCCCUGGAAGACUACCAGGUGAUAGGUCAUCGGUGAAAGAGUGGUAACAUUUGGAGCUUGAUGAUACUAAUCGGUCGAGGACUUGAUCUA
This 977-nucleotide ribosomal RNA is filed under the name human gut metagenome. RNAcentral's name for it is "bacterial LSU rRNA". It matches the Rfam family "Bacterial large subunit ribosomal RNA", at positions 1945 to 2925 of the family's 2925-position model. The record is from RNAcentral.